This is a long non-coding RNA of Gadus chalcogrammus (walleye pollock), 2913 nucleotides long. RefSeq lists it as uncharacterized. The transcript has 8 exons. The record is from RefSeq and is a predicted model, not a curated record. NCBI's taxonomy places the organism in Eukaryota, Metazoa, Chordata, Actinopteri, Gadiformes, Gadidae.
CUCUGCUGUGGCUGGUGACCAUCUUUAGGAUAUCCCCCAGUGACCGAGUGACUUUCAUGCUUACCCCCAAACCCGUGGUGGUGAGUUGUUCACUUGCUGCUGUUUUGCCCUGUUUUGCUUUGCCUUAUUGUUUUGUUUUUGAGUAUUUAUCGAACCAACUGGGGGUUAAAUGUUUGUUUUUGAUUGAUGUUUUCAUAGUUAUUGUUUAUUUAGGCUGGAGCUGGGGGCCAAACUGUAAGGAGGCUAGGCACCCCUGACAAUUGAGUGCUACCUCAGAGCCAUACUGAAUGUGAAAGAAAAGGAAAAGAAUAUCCACAACCAUUAUUCUGCCGGAGUCAUAGUUUUUGGAGCACGGUCUGCCAUGUCCAAUCACUCAUUACGCAAGCUUAACUUUGACAACUACAAUGGAGUCAUAGGAUGCAUGAAUGUUGCAAAUAACCACUGGAAAUCUUGGUAACAACCUUAAUGAACAUGUUACAAAAUAUAUCCUCAAUAAUAAUACUCUGCCAAUAGUAAAAUUCUGAUGAAAUGUAAUUUCUCCUUGUAUCUCUAAAAGUUGAACCAAAAUGUGUUUGUCAUGGAUUCCUUGGGUCAAGAUGAGGACAAAGAGUCAGGCGUUGCUGCGGAACGGUUUCGCCAGUUCUUCAGGAGGCGGCAGAACCGCUAACAGAAGACUGAUUGGGUGGAUGUAAAGUGGCAGCAAGCCUAAAUCAAGCACAGCAUUCAAAAGGAUGGUUGUAACUGGUGUUUUCGUCAUGAAGACAUGGUGGAGGCUUUUCCCGUUGUCCCCCAGGGAAUAGAAAUACCCACAUCACUAAAGGACUUAAAAGGCCGGAGGAUCACCAUGACGAAAACCAUACUGCAGUGCUCUGUCUUCAGUGAAACAGACCAUUGUUCCAGUUGCGGCCAGGAGAAUCCCACUGGACAGAAGGGAAACACAAAAUGGGUUGAAUGCACUAAAUGCAAGAGGUGGUACCAUCCGACCUGCAUGGCCAUGUCGGAUGAAGAAUGGGAAAAAGAGGAAGUAGCAUUGAAAUGGUACUGUGGCCUUUGCUGAUUUACCGUACAAGAUGUCUACGUUACAUAUCUGACUUUGAAUGUGCCUGGUAUGUGUGUAAUGUAUAAAGUAAACAUAACGGAUAGAAUUCCUUCCAAUUCCUGGCUGUAAAAUUCAUUUUAGUUUAAUCACUUUGCUUUAGCAACUCGCAAUUAAUGCUAAACUACCUGAAAGGUUGUAUGUUUCAUGCCAAAAUAAAUAUUUGCAUGCUUGAUCUAAAUUAAGAGCAGCAAAUUCUGAAGAAAAAUAAGUCAAAAUAGAAAAUGAGAAAUGCAUGUAAAUGAUGCUCACUGUUACUAUUCUGUCUAAGAAUCUUGGAAAAGUGUUUUAAAGGGAAGCAAGAAGCUGUGAAAUCUUCAAUGAGUUUAUGAACACAUCGGUUUGGUGGUUUGGUGUUGAUAUCUUUAAAAACAAGGGAGGUAUUACAAAACAUUUUUUUUUUUGUGCUAAUCCACAAUGAUUUUCAAUUUUGAAAGCAUGUCUUGUGUUCAAGGUUUUUUAUUAAAUGUCCCAAGAGGGCAAAUUAGUUCACAGCGAAGGAGGUAGUGGCUAAAAACUCACGACAGAACAAGACAUCAAUGUGUUGUCUUUUUAGUGGACUCUGCAUUAACAUGUGGUUCAUCCGACUCCCUUGAUAUUGCUUGAUUAACAAAUACAUUUCUUUUUAACAGGGAACAAUGUAGCCAAUCAAAUGUCUUCCUCGUUUUCAGCAAAUCACAUGAGCGCUGAACUUGUCUCUGUAUUUAAUAUUUCCUAAAGUUCAGAGAUUUUUUCCCUGUAAUUAUACAAAAAGUUUUGAUUCCUACAUAAACUGAUUAUUAGUGUGAUGAAAUAAAAAGCUGUAUAUGUUAUACCAUUUUAACUACAAGAUUUGGUUUGAGAUCAAAUGUGUUGAUGAUUAUCAACACAUUUUAAAGCAUAUAAACAUUUUCAGUAUCAUUUUCUUCCAGGAAAACUCCAAUGUGUCAUAUUUUCGAUUUAAAACAUAUGACAGCUGAUAAAAGAGACAGGAUUUGUUCUUAUCUACCCCAUAUAGCCCACAUGAAUGUUAUAGUGUCAGUUUGGAGCAGAAAUAUAAUUUUAACUACAAGAUUCGGCUUCAGAUCAUUUUCUGGCAGGAGGGAAACGACUGAAAUGUCUUAUAUUUGCCCAUGUAAAGGUGGUUCAGCUGGUAAUAGACACUGGGUGGUAUAUUAUCUAUUUACUGUGAUACUCAUGUGAUACUCAUGAAGGUUAUCAACUCAUUUAAUGCAUAUAAAACAUUUUAGUACCAAAAGAGGGCUUGAGAUCAUUUUCUGGCAGGAGGGAAAUGACAUGUCUUAUAUUUGCCCAUGUAAAGGUGUAUCAGCUGGUAAUACACUGGGUGGGAUAUAAUCUAUGUAAUGUGAUGCUCAUGAAUGUACUCAACUCAUUUUAAGGCAAAAAAAACCUUUCAGUACCAAGAGAGGGCUUGUGAUCAUUUUCUGGCAGGAGCGAAACGACUGAAAUGUUUUAUAUUUGACCAUGUAAAGGUGUUUCAGAUGGUAAUAGACACAGGAUGGGAGAUAAUCUAUAAUGUGAUACUCAUGAAUGCUAUCGACGCAUUUUAAGACGUAUAAAAGAUUUCAGUACCAAGAGGGCUUGAGAUCAUUUUCUGGCAGGAGGAAAACGACUCCAAUGUGUCAUAUUCUCGCUUUAAAACGUAUUGCAGCUGAUAAAAGAGACUGGAUUUGUUCUUAUCUACCCCACAUAGCCCACAUGAAUGUUAGUGUCAGUUUGAACCCUAAUCUAUUUAAUGUGAUAGGACCUACUCAUGAAUGUUAUCAAUUCAUUUUGAGAAGAAAAAAACUUCUUGAAAAAUCUAUAAACUGGGAAAA